UGAGACACGGCCCAGACUCCUACGGGAGGCAGCAGUGGGGAAUAUUGGACAAUGGGCGAAAGCCUGAUCCAGCAAUGCCGCGUGGGUGAAGAAGGUCUUCGGAUUGUAAAGCCCUUUCGACGGGGACGAUGAUGACGGUACCCGUAGAAGAAGCCCCGGCUAACUUCGUGCCAGCAGCCGCGGUAAUACGAAGGGGGCUAGCGUUACUCGGAAUGACUGGGCGUAAAGGGCGCGUAGGCGGUUCGUACAGUUGGAUGUGAAAUUCCUGGGCUCAACCUGGGGGCUGCAUUCAAUACGUGCGGGCUUGAGUUCGGAAGAGGGUCGUGGAAUUCCCAGUGUAGAGGUGAAAUUCGUAGAUAUUGGGAAGAACACCGGUGGCGAAGGCGGCGACCUGGUCCGAUACUGACGCUGAGGCGCGAAAGCGUGGGGAGCAAACAGGAUUAGAUACCCUGGUAGUCCACGCUGUAAACGAUGUGUGCUGGAUGUUGGGUGACCUAGUCACUCAGUGUCGUAGCUAACGCGAUAAGCACACCGCCUGGGGAGUACGGCCGCAAGGUUGAAACUCAAAGGAA
RNAcentral lists this ribosomal RNA (572 nucleotides) under uncultured bacterium. RNAcentral describes it as "bacterial SSU rRNA". It matches the Rfam family "Bacterial small subunit ribosomal RNA", at positions 320 to 909 of the family's 1533-position model. The record is from RNAcentral.